AUAUUAUUUUGGGGGUGUUGGGCACCAACAGAGCCCAUUGAAUCCACAUGACUCGGCCGAUAGGGGAGCACACAUGUCACCAUACCCGCUGUCCAGGAAUCAGAGGAGGAGGUGCCCUGGGGUGAAGCCUGGGCCACAGCCCCGGUUAGCAGCUCUGCAGACAUCUUACCUUGGAAACAGCACAGCUUGGCUUCCGUGUCAUCGCUGAGUUCAGAGAAUCCUAGUUUCACCGUGUCCUCAGUAGAGACCAGAGAACCAGAUGGAAAUGAAGGAUGAUCUCUGUGUUCUGUUUUCAGUUAUGUAGGAGUCCAGAAUAAGGAUCCCAUCCAGGAUUCCAUACUUCAGUCUUCAGGUCUCCUUCGGCUCUCCGUGCCUGUGUCAGUUUCUUACAGACUUUUC
This is a long non-coding RNA of Eubalaena glacialis (North Atlantic right whale), 399 nucleotides long. RefSeq lists it as uncharacterized. The transcript is spliced from 4 exons. Lineage: Eukaryota; Metazoa; Chordata; Mammalia; Artiodactyla; Balaenidae. The record is from RefSeq and is a predicted model, not a curated record.